CAAAGGUUUGGUCCUGGCCUUGGGAUCACUUAUUACUAAACAUACACAUGCAAGUCUCCGCACCCCCGUGAAUAACGCCCUUAUCCCCCCACCCCGGAAUAAGGAGCCGGUAUCAGGCACAACUUCUUGCCCAAGACACCUAGCUUCGCCACACCCACACGGGACUUCAGCAGUGGUUAACAUUGAGUAUAAGCGACAGCUUGACUCAGUUAUAGUAAAAAGAGCCGGCCAAUCUGGUGCCAGCCGCCGCGGUUACACCACGAGGCUCAAAUUGAUCCCCUAUCGGCGUAAAGCGUGAUUAAAGUAACCCCACCCAUUAGAGUUAAACUUGGGCUAAGCUGUGAUUCACUUGCACACAAGAAACUCAGAAGCGAAAGCUACUYUAAUUUUUUCCACUUGAACUCACGACAGCUGGGACACAAACUGGGAUUAGAUA
RNAcentral lists this ribosomal RNA (436 nucleotides) under Fritziana sp. 2 MLL-2018. RNAcentral's name for it is "partial 12S ribosomal RNA". Lineage: Eukaryota; Metazoa; Chordata; Amphibia; Anura; Hemiphractidae. The record is from RNAcentral.